RNAcentral lists this ribosomal RNA (492 nucleotides) under uncultured bacterium. Its description in RNAcentral is "partial 16S ribosomal RNA". It matches the Rfam family "Bacterial small subunit ribosomal RNA", at positions 29 to 507 of the family's 1533-position model. The record is from RNAcentral.
AUUGAACGCUGGCGGCAUGCUUUACACAUGCAAGUCGAACGGUAACAGGCCUUCGGGUGCUGACGAGUGGCGAACGGGUGCGUAAUGCAUCGGAACGUACCCAGAGGUGGGGGAUAACGCAGCGAAAGCUGUGCUAAUACCGCAUGUGAUCUGAGGAUGAAAGCGGGGGACCGCGCAGCAAUGUUUGGCCUCGCGCCUUUGGAGCGGCCGAUGUCGGAUUAGCUAGUUGGUGGGGUAAAGGCCUACCAAGGCGACGAUCCGUAGCUGGUCUGAGAGGACGACCAGCCACACUGGGACUGAGACACGGCCCAGACUCCUACGGGAGGCAGCAGUGGGGAAUUUUGGACAAUGGGCGCAAGCCUGAUCCAGCAAUGCCGCGUGCGGGAAGAAGGCCUUCGGGUUGUAAACCGCUUUUGGCAGGAACGAAACGGUGUCCGCUAAUACCGGGCGCUAAUGACGGUACCUGCAGAAUAAGCACCGGCUAACUACGUG